AAUCCGUGUUGUGGGCACUGGCAAAGUAAACCUUUGUAUCGUUUCCAAGCCUCUAAAUAGCAUUUUGAGUCCAUUUGCUGAAAAGUAGUGAUCUCGUCUCUUAGCUU
This 107-nucleotide small nucleolar RNA is filed under the name Olea europaea subsp. europaea. Its description in RNAcentral is "Plant small nucleolar RNA R71". It matches the Rfam family "Plant small nucleolar RNA R71". From Rfam's summary of the family: R71 is a member of the C/D box family of snoRNAs containing the C (UGAUGA) and D (CUGA) box motifs. Multiple nearly identical copies of this snoRNA have been identified in Arabidopsis, and it is thought to function as a 2'-O-ribose methylation guide for 18S ribosomal RNA. The record is from Rfam by way of RNAcentral. Lineage: Eukaryota; Viridiplantae; Streptophyta; Magnoliopsida; Lamiales; Oleaceae.